RNAcentral lists this ribosomal RNA (429 nucleotides) under Actinomycetes bacterium. RNAcentral describes it as "Actinobacteria bacterium partial 16S ribosomal RNA". It matches the Rfam family "Bacterial small subunit ribosomal RNA", at positions 355 to 776 of the family's 1533-position model. The record is from RNAcentral. Lineage: Bacteria; Bacillati; Actinomycetota; Actinomycetes.
UAGGGAAUCUUCCGCAAUGGGCGAAAGCCUGACGGAGCAACGCCGCGUGAGUGAUGAAGGUCUUCGGAUCGUAAAACUCUGUUAUUAGGGAAGAACAAAUGUGUAAGUAACUAUGCACGUCUUGACGGUACCUAAUCAGAAAGCCACGGCUAACUACGUGCCAGCAGCCGCGGUAAUACGUAGGUGGCAAGCGUUAUCCGGAAUUAUUGGGCGUAAAGCGCGCGUAGGCGGUUUUUUAAGUCUGAUGUGAAAGCCCACGGCUCAACCGUGGAGGGUCACUGGAAACUGGAAAACUUGAGUGCAGAAGAGGAAAGUGGAAUUCCAUGUGUAGCGGUGAAAUGCGCAGAGAUAUGGGGGAACACCAGUGGCGAAGGCGACUUUCUGGUCUGUAACUGACGCUGAUGUGCGAAAGCGUGGGGAUCAAACAGG